Thunnus maccoyii (southern bluefin tuna) is the source of this 399-nucleotide long non-coding RNA. RefSeq lists it as uncharacterized. The transcript is spliced from 3 exons. Lineage: Eukaryota; Metazoa; Chordata; Actinopteri; Scombriformes; Scombridae. The record is from RefSeq and is a predicted model, not a curated record.
UCCCUAUCGUGUCCACCGGGUAACUCAUCCGGCCAGACGAGGGGAUGUGCGCAGGAAUGAAGUGGGACGGUGCAGGAGGUGGAGGAGUGGCUCCGUCUAAGAAGGCAAGUCCAAGCAGUUUUUUUCAUCCAUUGAUGGAAGGGAGGGGAGGGAGCAUCACCCCCAGGCCGUCUGCUAAUGGUCCGGAUUCCCGUUCAGUCUGAACCACGUGGGCUGGAGGAGCUGCGCGCGUGUAGCAAGCCUGUGGGGUUGCACAAGUGAAGAGGAAAACCAGUGCAAGAAUCCUGUAUUUAUGAUUUAAACACAUGCUUUAAACAAGAGUGGACAAAUAUAGGAAGUUUGCACAAUGUUGAACAUCUGCCCUGCAAUCCAAGUACUUAAAACCUACUAAAUUACUCA